GGUGGCUCAGUGGUAGAGUGAUCGCCUAGCACGUGCAAGGCCCUGGGUUCAAUCCCCAGCACCA
RNAcentral lists this transfer RNA (64 nucleotides) under Ictidomys tridecemlineatus (thirteen-lined ground squirrel). RNAcentral describes it as "Spermophilus tridecemlineatus (thirteen-lined ground squirrel) tRNA". It matches the Rfam family "tRNA". From Rfam's summary of the family: Transfer RNA (tRNA) molecules are approximately 80 nucleotides in length. Their secondary structure includes four short double-helical elements and three loops (D, anti-codon, and T loops). The record is from Rfam by way of RNAcentral. Lineage: Eukaryota; Metazoa; Chordata; Mammalia; Rodentia; Sciuridae.